GCCGACGUAGCUCAGUGGUAGAGCAGCUCUCUCGUAAAGAGCAGGUCGGAGGUUCAAAUCCUCUCGUCGGCU
This 72-nucleotide transfer RNA is filed under the name Thermodesulfobacteriales bacterium. Its description in RNAcentral is "tRNA-Thr". It matches the Rfam family "tRNA". From Rfam's summary of the family: Transfer RNA (tRNA) molecules are approximately 80 nucleotides in length. Their secondary structure includes four short double-helical elements and three loops (D, anti-codon, and T loops). The record is from RNAcentral. Lineage: Bacteria; Pseudomonadati; Thermodesulfobacteriota; Thermodesulfobacteria; Thermodesulfobacteriales.